GAAACCCUAGGGUUUCUGAAUUAGAUUCGGUUGUGGGCCUAUUAAUUGGGCUUAGGGUUUUUAUUUUGGGUUUGUAAUAUCUUGGACUUGGACUUGAAUUCUUUUAUUUUUUUUUGUUUUAUUUAUUUGGUUUUGGGCCCGGGCAAAUUGGGCCUACUACAGUAGCUAUAUAGCAAAAAAAUAGAAGACAUCAUAAUGAACCUAAAUUUAAAAUAGAGUUUUAAAUGUUAACAAUUAGACUUAUAUUUUAACCUUCACAAUUUAAUUCACUUGUUUUAGAAUAGAUAUACUCCAUCUCAAAUUUGAGCUAACAUUUAAUGCACAAACCAAUGACAAAGAAUCUGAUUAAUGCGAUACUAAAACCUUAAGGGCUUAAUUAGAAAAUUUUAAAGUUAAGAAUCAAUUCAAAAUAUGUCAUAAUUUGAGGACAUUUGAUGAAUUAACCCUUUGAUAUAAUAAGGCAUCUCUUCCUAUUUGGGCUCAUUCAAGGUAUCAUUGCCAAGACAAGGACAAGGUAAAGGGGAAAAAAGACAUUACCAUGACUAAUUAAGCUUUUUGAAAAUUGCUUUUAUGCAUUCUUUACAAUAUCCAAUCUUGUUAACAGGAUUGCAAACAUCUAUAUUAUUGUUAAUGUUUUGAUUGUUUUCAUAUAUAUAUAUAUAUAUAUAUAUAUAUAUUUGGGCAAUUUUUAAAUUAUUGUGUGGAACUUGAAAUUUCCAUGUUUCUGCAUAACUUGUAAAAGAAGUAAACCAAUGAGAAACUCAGUCAUUCAAACCUAACCCAAAUUUUCUUGCACUAAGAAUGGUAAAACAUGGACCCAACAAAUUGGAAAAACAACAAACAAGAAGAGAGCUCAUUAACAUGGGGACCCCAUCAAGCACAUGACAACCAUUAGACUGAUUGGGGAAUAAAAAAUGCCAUAGCUAGUUUACAUAUUUGGAAUUCUAAAAUUUAGGUGGAAUUAUUAAUAUUAAUUUUUUUAUUAAAUUUUGUUAGUGUCACGUUUUGAAAUAAAAAAAAUAUUAGUUUAGCAUCAAUGUAAUUAAAAAUUAAUAUUUUAAUAAACUUGAAUUCAACAAAAUAAUUUUAACAGUGUUAACAAUUAGACUUAAAUUUUAAAAUUUAAAAAGUUAUAUAUAUAUAUAUCUUUGCCAUCUUCCAAUGAGAAACUGAAUUAUGUGUGAAUAUAAUUUAGAUGGUCCCCCAACACUUGCCUUGCCAAGACCGGAACAGACACACCAGGCAAGAAAAAUGAUUUUACCCCAAAAAAAAAGAAAGAAAGAAAGAAAAAGAAAAAGAAAAAAAGAACUUAAUUAAUAUCCAUUGAAUUAGUUCUAAUGAAAGGACUACAAUGUCCCCACUAUAAAGAAAAUUAAAUAAGCAAUAGAUUAGUGUAAAUAAAAGAAUAAACUACAUUCCAAUAGAGUUAAGCUGUCUUAGCUCGAUUGGCAUGAAUAUUGUUGUCAAUGUAGGAAGAUGUGGAUUUGAAUAUAUUGAUGCGCAUUAUUCUCCUAUUUAUGGGUUGGGGAGGGACUACGCGUAAUUCUAAAUAUUAUCUUAAAAAGAAUAGAUAUUAUCAGAAUCUAUAAUGAUAUUGUUUGGUUUUAAUGUUUAAUUUAGUAUUUGAGUUGUUUUUCUUUUUCAGAUUUAAUACUUGUGUUUGGCUUUAAUGCUCAGUUUAGUACCCAAAUCAAACGGCAUCAUGUGGCUCAAUGAAUAUUUAAUAUAUGUGCUAUAAAUCUAAUAAAAUAUUAUAGAAUAAAUUGUAGAUGAAGAAUAAAAGAAAUUGUAAAUGUUAAAAUUCAAAAUUAAAUGUACGAAAUUACACUUUUUUUUAAUGAAAAAUGCAUCAACCAAGAAGGGUUCUUUUUCUCAGCUUUGUUUUGUAGUAAAUUACAUGAUUAAAUCAGCAAAUAUGGGUGAAAAAUGUGAUGAGAUCAUUCAAAACAUUAAAAUAAUGUCUUGAAUUUAGUAUACUUUUAAAAGAGAGUGACAUAACCAUAAUGCAAGUGUGAUGCAACUUUCUCAUCAUUAUAAUAUAUAUAUAUAUAUUUAGGUAUGUAACAUUAAUCGUUAAAUUAUGAGUAAGUUAUUGUUUUGGUAUUUAAUUAAAAGAAGUUAAAUUUAGUCACUGAACUAUUUAAAAGUUUUUAUUUAGGUCAUUGCGUGGUUAAGUUUUUUUUUUUAAAGUUCCGCUAGUGAGCUCCAAGCGACGAUUUGAUGAUUGGUACGGUAGAUCAGUAUCCAUCGACAAGUAGAAGAACAUACAUUAGAUUCACGAUGAUCUGAUGGUCUGUGUUGGAGAUUAGAGAAAAAAAGUUGUUUGAAUUUUGUUUACAAAAUCGUGAUGUCCAAAGUUGUUUCAUGAAAAAAAAAUUGAAUUGUAAAAGAGGAGUAAAUAGAGCUUUUGAAUGGUGCAAGCAGUGCGAAGAGAGAAAGUCAUUAAACAUUGGUUUUAACAGUCUAAUAACUUAGAUGGAAACUUUUGAAUAGUUUAGCGACCAAAAUAAUAACUUAUCCAUAGUUUAGUGACUAAUGGUGUAGUUUACUCUUUUUUUACAACUACAAUCAAAAUAAAGAAUUUUACCGUUAUUGAAUUGAAUAAUUAAUUUAACAACAAAUUAACUAUAACCGACAUAAAUUUGGAAAGAAAACUUACAAAUUUGGGUAGGACUUGAACACCAAUCUCAAAUUUCUGGAAAAUUGUAUUUGAAUGGUUUUAAUUUAUUUAUUCUUCAAACUUUUUGACUCAGGAAACUUUAGCUGAAAAAGCUUUAAAGAAAAUUAUUUGGUACACUGUUAGUGGAAUUUUAAACUUCACAAAUAGGGUUAGGGGUUGACAAGAAUUUGAUAGAAAUAUAAUAUAAUGUUAAAAUAUAAAUAUUAAAAAAAGACAUAUAUCAAUUUUUUUAAAAUUAAUUGUGAAAUAAAACAAAUUCAUUUUUACAUACCCUAAAAUUAUUACCUAUAGAAAAGUAGGUCAAAAACAUCAAACAUAUCUUUUUGAAAAAGAAGUAAAAAAAAGUCAUUGUUAAGCUAAUAAAAUCUUUCAAAUGACAUUUAUCUGAAAUAUUUAAUCACUUUGUUUGAAUUAAUUAUUUUAUUUAAUAUUUAUAAUCAGUGGAUAUAACAAUAUAAUAGGGAUACAUACGUCACAUAUUAAGUUCAAGGGGAGCUAUUCAAAUAAAUGUCUAUCACUUGCUUUUCGAAAGCUCAAACUCGGAUGAAUUCUAUAAAUGAACAUCCCUUAAUCACUAAACCAAUCACGAGAGUUUAUAUGAUUUUAUUAAAUCUUAACUAAAAAUUAAAAGGAAUAUAUGCCUAUCUUUCACAAGUUAUAUAACAAAAUUUCAAAUAAUUCAUAGACUAAUAGAAACGAAAAUUGAUUGUUUGAACCAGACUAGUUGGGUCAAAUCGAGAAUCGAUCGAAGUAUCAGUUCAGAAAAAAGUAAUGGAUUGGUUGACUUAAGAACCAAUACGGACUAAUUGUACCGAGCAAAAAAAAUAAUUGAAUCAGAGAAUUGAACUUUUUUAAUUUUUUAAAAUUUUUAAUGAUUUAUUUAAUUAGAAUAAUCAAACCAAUUCGACCAUCAAUCUGAUUCUUAAAACCUUUAUAAAGUGGUAAAUAAUUUUGUGUUGCCUUAAAUUUUAAAGUUAAAUACUUAUUAUUGGAUAUCGGAUUCAGGUUACAACUUACAAGCCCUUUUUCAGUUUUUCUUUACUCUUUGAUAAAAAAAAGAUAAAUCAAGAUUUACCUCUUGAACUUUAUAAGUUUCUCAAUUUAGUCCUAAAACCUUUUUUUUUUCAUAAUAAUACUGAAACUUAACAAUUUUUUUAUAUUAAUCUAUGUGAUAAUGUGGCAUUAUACUAUUGUGUCUCGUUGUCCAAAAAUUAUAUUUUGAUCAAAAUAAAUAAUGACAUGGUGCUUUUAUAUUGUGCAAUGUCAUAAAAAAGAGAGAGUAAUUUCUGGUGAAUUUGGUUUGGGGCACAAGUUGGCAUCCACCAAUUUCGCUCGUUAAAACUUGGGCCAUGGCGGGAUUGUAGUAUGGGUGGAGUAAUAAAUGUUUGGGUAAAUUACACUACAUGUUACCCAAUUAUGGCUCAGUUUUUUUUAGUCACCUAAUUAUGGUUUUUUUUUUAAAUUGGUCACUUAAUUAGUUAGGUUUGUUUUUUGGUCAUUUUCCGUUAAGUCUAGUUAACAAUCCAACUAGACCUAAACGUGGGUCGAGUUGGGCCAAUACAAAAAUUUAGGCUUGCGCUUGUCCCAAAAAUCGGGCUUAAAAUUUUAUCUAAGCCCGACAUGUUUAUAUUAAAAAAAUUAUAUCAUUUUUAUAUAAAAACAAAAUUAAAAAUAUAAGACAUCAAAUAUUCCAAAAAAAAUUAAAAUAAAUAUUUCUCAACAAAUUGAAAAAACAUAAAAAAAUUAUUUAUACUUAAACAACACUAAGAUAGUUGCAGCUUAGCAAGCAAAUACAUCUAAAAUAGUAGCAAAAUUAAUAAUAAAAUAAAAAUUAUACAAUAUUCAAAUAAUAACAACAAAAUAGUAACAAUAUAAUAGUAAACUAGCAGCAAAUAGCAACAAAAUAGUAGCAAACAGUAGCAAAAUAACAUUGAAAAAAAUUAGGUAAAUUUGGGCCAAAAAAAUCUUACCUCAUUUUUUUGUCCAAACCCAUUUUUUUGGCCUAUAUUUUUGCCAAAAUCCUCACUUUUCAGUUGAGUCUUUAGGCUUAUGUUGAUAGCUUAAAAAUUGGUAUAGUAACAAAUUUAGUACUCAAUUUUAUAUAUUAUGUCAAUUUAGCCAUUGUUUUCAAAAAUUAGCCCUCAACAUUGCGAAUUAUUUCAAUUUGGUUGAAAAUUAACCCUCAACGUUGAAAGGAAGGGUAUAGCCCUGAUAUUUUUGGAGCUUUCCAAGCAGGGUUUUGAGGCUGCAAAGUAGCUGAGAGAGCUUGGAGAGAUUAGGGUCGUUGCUAAGAAUGGGAUUCACAUCCUUUCCAAGGUCUAGAAAAGGUUCAAGGGUGGAUUGGGGUUCAUGUGUUGAAGAAAUGGGGUUUUUCAGCAGAUCUUUUGAAGCUUUUGAAGGGACGUUAGCAGUGAAAAUAACUGUUGAUUGUCUUGGUAUGAUGUUUCAUUCAUCUUUCAGGGAUACUGCUUAGGUUCGAAGCUUACUGCAUGUGGCGUGAAGGGAGAAAGGAAACUGACAGAACCUCCCAACUACCAGUCCAAACAUGACCAAAGCUUUAAUUACAUUUUUUUUUUUAAUUCUUCGUGUCUGUUUAUGAUUUAUGUUUGGGUUCAUAAUUCUCCCUCCUAAUUAUCACCAAACAGGGGGCCAAUCCUAAUAACUAUCAACAUAUGCGACAACCUUCUACUGUUUCUACACCCAUUCCAGUUUCCAUUCAAUUUCUUAUCUGCCAACAAACGAAAGUACUUUCAAUCCAAUUUGUUGUUUGUGAAUUAAUUUUUUUUAAAAAAAUUAACCCUCAAUAUUGCAAAUUAUUUCAAUUUGGUUAAAAAUAAACCCUCAACACUGAUUAGGCAUUUUGAAACUAUAGGUACUAUAUUAGAACAAAUCUUAAAGUACAGGGGCCUUUCAUGCCAUUAUCCCUUUUUUUUAAAUUAGGACCAAAUUGAAAUAAUUUGCAAUACCAAGGGUUAUUUUUAAAAAAACUAUGAUUAAAUUGACACAAUAUAUAAAAGUUGAGGGCUAAAUUUAUUAUUUUUAAGCUGCCAACUCACCCUUCCAUUAAAUAGUUAAUGGCACUUAAUGGAAAAUAACCCAAAAAGCAAACCCAAUUAAUUGGGUGACCAAUUUAGAAAAAUUUAUAGUUGGGUGACCAAAAAGGAAAUUAGCUCAUAGCUAAGUGACCUAUGGUGUAGUUUACCCAUUAAUAUAUAAUUAAGUCUUAGAUCAAUUAACGAGUUACUGUUAUAAUUUGAAAGAUGUAGAUUCAAAUACGUCCAAAUCUAUAAUACUUUUUAGUUUAAAGAUCGAAGAGUUAUGGAUAAUUUUAAUAUUGUAAAAUGACAAGAUAAAAUAAAAAAUAUUUAGAUAAUUUUAACAUAUAUUUUUUUCAAAAAAACUAAUUCAAUACGCACCACGAUGAAAUAAAAAUUGAUAUAAGUAGAUAGAUAUGUUUAAGGUUUAAACUAUUUAUUCAAAUUUAAAUGUCAACUCGAAAUUUGAAAAGGUUUUACAAACACCUCGUUUAAAAUAUAAAUGUGUUUGUUUCAAUAUCUAAAAUUGAAAUAAGACAUAUUUUCAAUAUCUAAAAUUGAAAUAAGAUAUAUUUUCAGGUGCGAAUCUAGCGGGGUUGGUAGGCGUCUAACCUUUUAAGAUUUUUAAAAUUUUAAAUUAGUAAAAAUAAAAUUGAACUUUGGUCUUUGGCCCCAAAAAUAAUAAAAUUUUAAUUUAAUCAUUUAAAAAUUACAUAUUUAUUAUCGUAAAAAUUACAAUUUAAUUUCGGCUCCCUAAAAAAAUUUACUGGCUUCGCGCCAGCAUGUUUUCAAGUUUAUAAUAUGUAAUUUAAUUUAUUUCAUAUAUUAUUAUAGAAAAAUAAUUAAAUAUAUAUUAAGUUAUUUAUGUUAAAUAUUAAAUAUAAUAAUUAUAUUAAAAAAACAAAUAAUAUAUGCAUAGGCCCGAUCCAAACCGAUCCGGUGCCGGUCCAUCAAGUAAAGAAUCUAAAUACUUUCGCGCCUAAACCAACCAGAAAACAGCGCCAGAGAGAGGCAAAGCAGAAACGCCUGAAACCGCCGCUACAAACGCUGCUCAAGCCGCCAUCACCGUACCAGCACCAGCCAAACGUUAACGGAGCGUUUCCCGUUCUUUCUUCUCCUUAGAGAAGAGGAGCUAAUGGUAAUUUUAUUUUCUUUCAGCGCUUUCUUGUUGUCCACUUGUGUUGCUUGAUCUUCACAAUUUUUGAUGAAUUGUUUGUGAAGAUGCCUGAAAGAAUUUAGGGACUUAUACUUUCCGGUAUUCAAACUUUAUCAUUUAAUAGAUAUAAAUGUAGACAUAAAAUAAUCAAAACCAAUUGGAUGGCUUGAAAUUACUAGACAUAUUUAUUUUGCUAUUGAGUCCUUUUUUGCUUGCAGGAAGUUAAUCAACAGGCUAGAUGUAGAGAGUUGGCUAAAUCGUCCUCAUUUUAUAGUACAGUUUACUCUGAGGUCAUUUAAUCUUUUUUUUUCCCUCUAUAUUUAUUCUAAUGUCAACCAUUUUAUGGGUUUUGUUUGGUUUCUCUUGAUGAGUUAUUUUUAUUUGUACAGAUAGAAGAGGUUGGAUGGGAUCAUUUGGUGAGGGCGGGAGGAGAUCUAAGUUUCCUUAUUUUUCGUGUUUUGUAAGUACCCUUUUGAUUGUAUUGACAAUCCAUCUAAUAUGGGAAAGCUUUGGUUUUCGUUUGGAGCAUUAGAUUUUGUAGUAAACAGCUAGUGCAACUUCCAGGGUUAGUCACAUAAUCAUGAUAAUCCUUUGGUUUUCUGCAAACGAAUGGAAUCUGUAUAUUUUCUUAGGAUGGUGAUGAUAAUCUGGGUUAUGUAGCUAACCUGCAAUAUCCAGCUUGGUGCUAUCUUUAAUUGUUCUCACUGUAUCCAUUACUAGCUCUUUUUGUACUCCAUUCUUAUCAAUGUUAUAAUCAUGUACUUUUAUAAAGAUAUGGUAUUGAUACAGAAUUGGCUAUAUCUGAAAACUAAAGGCUUGAAUAUAUUUUCUGAAAAUUGAUAAACAGUUGAUAUUGGAGUUAUAAAAUCCUCAGUAUACCAUAUAUUUCUAUAUACCUGUUAAGAUGUUUCUAUUGUCGAACUUCGGUAUUGGUAUUGUAACCCUCUGAGUUUUGUUCUCCUUUUAUAUUUCAUGUUAUCCUCUUUGUUUCUAGUUGCUUAUCCUGUUAUCCUUCUUGUAUAUUUCGGUGCUAGAGAUAAGAAGGGAAGAGUGCAUGUUAUGGAAAUUCAGUUGGAUAAAGCUUAUCCUAGAGUUCCUCCAAUGGUUUCAGCGGUUUGUCUCCUAUCUUUUUGGUCUUAAUUCUUCCAAUGUAGUCCUACAGGUGUUUUAUCUUACUCUGCUUUGUUCUCAGGAUGUUCCCUAUAUCUUCAAUUUAAAAUGGUCAAUGAACUCGAGACUGAAAAACUUGGUACAACAGUUUGAGAAGGUAUUUGCUUCGACAUUUUUGAACCCAAUGUAGUUCCAUUCUGCUUCAGAACAUAUUUUUGGUGCCAUGGCAUGUUUAACUAUUGUCAGAACUUUGGUGUUUUCUCUUUGUAUCCAGCAUCUGGAGAAGCUUCAAGGAUUCUGGUCUACCUUGGACGAAAUUGACAGGUCUCUUCAGAUUGUUGAUUCAAAGCAAGCAUCUCGUGCCAUUCCGAGUCGCCAAAUCCACGUAGGUGAGUCAUUACUUCAUUCCGUCUUCUUUUAUGUACAUUAAAAUUUUCUUGCCCCCUCCUUUAUUACUGAACACAAGGUUUAACUAUUUGGUACUCAGGAAAUGAUUGCUUCAUCAUAUUGUUCAUCGAUAUCAAUGAUCCUAGAUCAUUACCAGAGUAAGAAUUCAUAUAAAAUUAUAUUAAAAGCUGCUAGCAAGUUGGUUUUGUUCAGCAUGAAUAACGAAUAUUUAAGUGUUUGUAGGUGUCGUUUUAUGGGUUUAGGUAAUACUGUGAACUCCUUGAGAAAGACAUGGAAAAGAAAUGUUGAUAAAUGGUAUGCCCUUGAGUCUCAUCUUAAAUUUUUAACUUUUGCACUAGUGAAGUGAACGUGUGGUUAACAGUGGAGGAAGAAAAUUACCGAGUUGCGUAAUUUUCUGCAUGCAAUCUGUUAAUUCCUUCUCUAGUAACAGAGAAUGCCAGAAAUUGGAGCCUUGAAGUCUUCCAUCUAAUUUAAGAGGAUAGAAGCUUAUAACAUCGUGUUGUAUAAGGGAUAGGUUUCAUUCCAUUGUACUAACUUUACAUAGUCUGAUUAAUUGUUUAGGGAGAGGGACAAAGCCUUUUUAGAAAAUCUUGAGUGUCUUUUGAACACCCAAUUGCCAAGGCUUGCUGAUGAAGAGACCAACAAUCAUCUAGAUGAAUGUGGAAUCUGUUAUGCUCAAUAUCUCCCCAUUGGUAAUGCUUCACAUGCUUUAGAUGUCUCUGAACUAUUGUUUUGAGACUUAAUUCUCAAAUGUUCCUGUAGGUGAUGAGCUUGGACCUCGGACUGGAAGUGCAACUGAUUACACUUGUGAGAAUAACAGUUGUAGUAAGGCUUUCCACAGCGUGUGCCUAGUCGACUGGUUGAGGUCGAUCACGACAACAAGGCAGUAAGUGGAGCUCUUAGUGUACUUGUAUCUUUUAAACUACUUCGUGUCGGAGUAUAAUUUUAUUCCUGUCCACUAUGUGUUGUGAUCAAUUCAAAAUUAAUUGCUUGCGGAAUUUCCCGCUUUUGGCAUUGGGCUACCUGUCUACCUGAAUGAUCAAACCUGCAAACAAGUUGGGUCACGUGAUACUCGUCUAUAUCUCCUCCUUUAUAUCUUAUUGAUACACCUAGUAGCCUUUAGUAGAGGUAGAAUCGACCGUUACUGGCCUCAUAUUUUUCAGUUGCGACUAGGUAUGGUAACACUAUUUCUGGAGUCUGAUCAAGAGGGACCUACAUGAAAGUUGAAGGGGCUAUGUUUUUCCUAGCUUUUAAAGGCACUAGUACAUUAUCCAAAACGUGGUCCAAUAAAUUGUCGGAGCUACUUUUGUCCGUUAGAUUAAAUGGGGUGUUAAGGUUUGCUAAGAUAGUGAUAUAGUGCCUUUUUCUCUUUUGUGUUUGUCGUUUGGCAAAUGACCCUUCAAGUUACAUGAUUCAUGGUACUGACUUUUCAUUCAUAGUAAACCGGGUUGCCUUUGAAUAUGCCUUAUUGCUUGUACAUACCCCACAUUCAAAUUAGCUUUGAUUAUUUGCAAUUAGUUUAUGAAACGAUAUUAGCACAAACCUAUCUUCAAUUUCGACCGUGGCAACUUGGUUGCUUGAUUUAUGGUUGUGAAUGCUUGUGUUGCAGGUCAUUCAAUGUUCUGUUUGGAAAUUGUCCUUAUUGCUCAGAGCCAAUUGCAGUGAAAAUCAAUGCCACAAAGAAUUAAAGAUCUUAUAAGUCAUAAUCUAUGAUCCUAAGCUGAUUCAUCCUGUCCCGGAGAACCCUUUCACGAGCAGAAGAGGCGUGUGAAAUUCCAUUACUGCCAAAGCAGCAAAACUCUGAAGAUUAAAGCUUCUCUUGUCCAUGCAGGUACCUAAAACCAAUUCCGUUUUGCUGAAAUAAGAAGCAUUCAAUGUAGGUUUGUGCCUACUAGCACUGUACUAUUACCUUAUGACCAACAAUGAUUUGUGGCAUUCCCUUCUUUAUGUAUUGUCCUGACUUAUCUAAGGCAUUAUUUACUUUGAUCAAAAGUGUUUCACUUGAUUGGUAGUCUUUCCUUGAAUAUUGGAUUCUUUGUCCCAACACAUUCAUUUCUUUGCAACUGGUAUGUCAUAUUCCAACAAUAUGUUACCUCUAUUAAAUGACUGCUUUUAGCUGGAAUUCAAGCAUGUUUUGUUUCACUCAUUAUUCCAACAUAUUGGAUGCAAUGACAGAACACUCGGUUCAAAUUACUAAAUAAUUCACACUUGGGACUUCUUGCUUGGGAAUUUAUUCAUGUUUAAAUAUGGACUAAUGAGAAAGGAGUUGUGGAAGAUAUUGUAGCUUUGCUGCUGCUUCAAAGGAUGGCCCUUCCUCUCUUAGCUUUAAUGGUGUUUGCCUCCAGAAGGCAAUCAAUUGGGGGUCAUAUGAGAAUUUAUGCCUAGUGGGGCCCUAAACUGUAAAAAUCCUAGUAAAUAACCCUAGACUGCCAAGUUGUUUAUUUCCUUGAGGAUGUGAGCUGUUAUCAUGAAUUAUAAUUUAUAACCCCUUUGUUGUGCUCAAUGACCAAAAAGGUGGGUAUCUAAAAUUCUUUUCUUUAUCCCCAUUAUUUUAUUCUUUACUAAAUUAUCUGUUAGAAUUAAGUGACCCAAAUAUUUAUUUAAAUAAAAUACAUUGGUAAAAUAAAAUAAAAGUAAAAUUCAUAUAGAACUACACUUAUUUUAUUUUAUUUUAGAAUAAGGUUUUUUAAACGUUAUUAAGCUCGAUCUAUUUGAUAUUGAUUAGAAUAAGAUGUUUCAAUCUUACUACACUCUUAUUAGAAUAUGGUUUUAUAAGCCUAGAAAUAGACAUAGUCUACUCCUCUUGUAAUCAUUCGAAUUUGGCAUAGUGAAUUAUCUUCUCCUUUGCCCGUGGUUUUUUUCUCGAAAGGGUUUCCACGUAAAACUUAUGUGUUCUUUAUUUUUCUCUCUUUUUCAUUGCGAUACAUUGUCAUUACCGAUGUUCUAUUUUUAACAAAUUGGUAUCCUAGCUUCCAGGUUGUUCAUCUCAAUCACGGUAAUGGCGUCUUUGAAGAAUGAAAUUCUGCUGUUGGAUCGCAACAACAGAUUUGCGUUGUGGCAGAUAAAGAUGCAGGCAGUUCUUGCACAGAUGAACUUAGAGGAAGCCCUGCUAGGGGUAGAUAAGAUGCCUUCAACAUUGAUGAAGGAAGAGAAGAAGCGCAAGGAUCGAAAUGCGUUAACACAGUUACAUCUGCAUUUGUCUAACAAAAUUUUACAGGAUGUGAUGAAGGAGAAGACUGCCGCUAGAUUAUGGAAGAGGUUGGAACAAAUAUGUAUGUCGAAAACUCUAACUAGCAAGCUGCAUAUGAAGCAGCGUCUUUAUGCUAAUCGUUUGGAGGAAGGUGUGCCUGUGCACAAACACUUAACAGUGUUUAAAGAAAUUCUCUCAAACUUGGAGGCGAUGAAGGUUCAGUAUAAUAAGGAAGAUCUAGUGUUGGUUCUACUUUGUUCGUUGCCUCCAUCUUAUUCAACCUUUAGAGAUACGAUUUUAUAUAGUCGCGAGUCUCUCAGAGUUGAUGAGGUUUAUAAUUCUUUAACCUCGUAUGAUAAGAUGAAAUAUCUUGUGGUUAAAAUCGACUCUUAGGGAGAGAGUCUCAUUGUUCGUGUGAGACAAGAUCAGAAUGCUAAUUAUGAUCGUGGAAGAGUUAACACAGGAACGGUAAUGACCCAAAAUUCACAAGCACAAAAAAAAUGAGUUAUAGGGCCUUCAUAUUAAUAAACUGAGUUCGUAAACAAUUAUUCGAGUAAUCAUGAGUCUAGUUGAGUAUUUAAUUAGGUUCAAAUUGGGUGAAUUUAACUUAGUUAAUAAAUAUUAGGAAAAAUGACUGAAUUGAAUAAGGUGUGAAAGUCUAAUUAUAGAUUAAAAGAAGAUAAGGGGACUAAAUAGGCAAUUAAGCCUGUUCUAAUGAAUGAGACGACAAAGCAUAAAAAUCUUUGAUUUUUAUGAUUGUUUAAUUAUAAAAUAUAUUAUUAUUGUUAUUAUUUUAUUAUAUUAUAAAUUAAAUUGAUUAUAUUAUUAUAUUAUGAAAUAAAUUAAGAAAAGACAAGUGUAAGGUAAAAAUAAAAUACAAGUGUAUUAAUUCAAAUGAGUACAUUUGUAUUAUAUAUAUAAUUAGUAAAAAUAUAUUUUAUUAUUUAUUAUUAAUUAGUAAAAUAUUUUUAUAUGAUAAAUAAAUUGAAAUUAUGACAAGUGGAUGGUGAUGAUAAAAUACAAAUUUAAAAUAUAUAUAUGAACAUUUGUAAUAUUUAUAUUUGUUAUUAAAUAGAUAUAAUAAUAAUAAUAAUUAUUAUUAUUAUUAUUAUUAUUGUUAUUAUUAUUUAAUUGAUAUUAUAUUAUUAGAUUAAUGAACAAAUUAAUAAAUUGACAAAUGUAUAGUGAUGGUAAAGUACAAGUGUAAUAAAUCAUAUACAUACAAUUGUAAAAUACAUAUUUAUUUACUUAAUAUUUAAGAAAUAAUAAUUAUUAAACUAAAGUAAAAUAAAAGCAUAAAAAGAAACAAAAUAGAAACGAAACAAGGAGAAAAAAGAAAGAAAAGAAAAAGGAAAAGAAAGAAACGAGAAAUAGGGUUUUUAAAGCUUGGGGUUUAAUUUGGUAAGUCAAUUUAGUCCAUUUUCUUGUAAUUUUGAUGUUUUUGGAGUCCUAGAGUUGAAUAUUAUUGAAUUUACGUUGAAAUUUUAAAAAUUAGUAGAUUUUUUAGUAGGGUUUAUGUUGAAUAAAUGAUUGAAUUAGGGGUUUAUUUGAUGGAAUUAUUGAUUAGAAUUGAUUUAAGGAUUAAAUUGUAAACUAGGCUAUAAGUUUUGUGUUGUAGGGACUAAAUUGAAAGAAAUUCAAAAUUAUGAUGAAAAUUUGAUAGUUAAAUUUAAGUUUAUAUGGAAUUUGGACAGAAAUAAAAUAUAAAUUGUAAUGGGAAAAUAGAUGAAUUUAGUUAGGACUAAAAUUGGAAUUUAAGUGAAAGUUAAAUAGAAAUUUAGUAUUUAAUGUAAAUUAGUAAUAUAUUAAUGAUUGUAAAUUAUUUUAAUUUCCGUAGUUAACAAAGAACCCGAGACAUCAACACCGAAAGGAAAGGAAAGGAAAAAGUUAUCGAUGAGUAAUCGCGAAAUUCGGGUUUGUAUUACUAUAAUUCAAGUUAUUCAUUAUUAAAUAUUAAUAUUAAUUUAUUUAAUUUAUGGUAAGUAAAUAUUGAGGUAAGUAACUUUAUUGAAUUGAAUUUAGAAUUGAAUUGAAUUUUGAUUAGUGAAUGAAAAAGUGAAUUUGAUAUUGAAAGUAAAUUUUGAAAUGAAAGUGAACUUGAAUUGAGAAUUGGAAACCCUAUUAACUAGUCGGGCCGAAUCGGAUAUGAUUGGCUUGCUAUAGGAUUGGAAGAGUUCAGGGAUACUUCGACCUCAAGUCGAUGAGACACUGGGUGUCACUAUUUUACUUCGGAUAGAUUCGAUGAGAUACUGGGUAUCACUUUACUUCGGCUAGGUUGAUGGGACACUGGGUGUCAACUUUGCUUCGAACUAUCCAAUGGGGCACUGGGUGCCAAUCUGGUGUGUUUGGUUGGAUCCGUGUAUCCGCUAAAGUCCGAGUCUGUUAAUAGGGGUAAUUAAUUGAAAAGUUAAAUCGAAUGAAAUGAAUCAGUUGAACCAUUGAAAAGAAACGUGAUUGUGGGAUAUAAUUUAAAAAUGUGAAUUGAAUGUGAAAAUGUGAAUAGAAAGCAUGAACUAAAUGUUCAUGAGAAAAAUAAUGGCUUAAUGUGAUAGUAUAUGAUAUUAACUAAUGAAAGCCAAAUUGAAUUGUACAUAUUGAGAAAUGAAAGUUAAAUAUGAAUUCGUUUGGUAAAUUUUUUAAAAUUAAUUGAUUUAAUUUACUCGGUUAUUUUAUUAUAAUUUGAAUUAUAGUAAUACCACUGAGUAUGAUAUACUCAGCAAACGGUUGUUUCCGUGCGUAGGUUAGUAGAAAUUAAGGUUCCGGCUCAGCAUCUAGAGCGAUCUCGACUCCAGUGCAAAAUUUAGUGAUAUAAUCUUUCUUUUGGUAAAGUGGCAUGUACUUAGGUGUUAUAUUGGUUACUUAAAAGUGUCUUAUGCUUUUGGUUAUAAAUGAUACUAAAAUAAUAUUUUGAUACUUGGUGUAAUGAAAUGGAAAUAGAAUUAUCAUAACAUAUUUGAUAUAUUUGGUAACAAGUUGAAAUAGAAUGAAUGAAGUUUAUUAAUUUAAAUAAUAUAUGCGAAUAUUUAUUUAGUAAAUUACUAAGUUGAUGUUUAAGAUAUGUUUAAGUGUAUUUGAAAAUGAAAUUGUAUGGAUUGUGAUAUUGGUUUUGAAUUGGUUGCGGUUUGAAAUUGCAGGGAAGGUUAAAUAUUUAUAAAGGGGUUAUAUUGAGUUUUUUUUAGAAACAAAAAAAAAUGAAGUCAAUUAGUAAUAAAAAAUAUUUAUAUGAAAUUAUGAUUAUAUUAUAAUAUGUUUGUUAUUUGUUUAAGAAUUAUUUGUAGAUUGUCUGAUAUGUCCGGUAAUGCCUCGUAACCCUGUUCUAGCGACGGUUUAGGGUUAGGGGGUGUUACAAGAACAGAAUCCUCGCUGUAAAUCUAAAGGUAGAUCGAAGUCUUCAAACAAAGGUAUAACUUGUAACUUUUGCAAGAAGAAAUGACACAUUAAAUCUGAGUGUUAUAAGCUACAGAAUAAGAUCAAAAGGGAGGCUACGAAUGAAAAUGGAAAACAACCAGAAAAUUUCGAAAAAGCUGAUGUUGUAGAAGACUACAGCGAUGGUGAACUUCUAGUCGCUUCUGUCAACAAUUCUAAAGUGAGCAAAGAGUGAAUCAUUGAUUCGGGUUGCACCUUCCACAUGAGUCUCAAUCGGGAUUGGUUUACAACUUAUGAAACAGUGUUUGAAGGUGUUGUUUUGAUGGGAAAUAAUGCUUUAUGUAGAAUCAUAGGUGUUGGAACAAUUAAAGUUAAGAUGUUUGAUGGAGUUGUCAGAACACUUAGUGGCGUACGAAAUGUUCCAGAAUUAAAGAGAAAUUUAAUUUUGUUGAGUACUCUUGAUUCAAAAGGGUACAAAUACACAGCUGAAAGUGGGGUUUUAAAGAUUUCCAAAGGUUCUCUCAUUGUGAUGAAAGGGUAGAGAAAGACUAUCAAGUUAUAUGUUUUGGAAGGUUCUAUUGUUACUGGUGAUACAGCUUUCGCAUCCUCUUCCUUAUUAAAUGAUGAUGAUAUUACUAAAUUUUGGCAUAUGCGCCUAAGGCAAAUGAGUGAGAAUGGCAUGACAGAAUUGAGCAAAAGAAGACUUCUUGAUGGGCAAGGAAUUUGCAAACUGAAGUUCUGUGAGCACUGCGUUUUUGGGAAGCAAAAGAGAGUUUGAUUCACCAGAGGAAUCCAUAACACGAAGGGAACGUUGGAGUAUAUUCAUUAUUAUCUGUGAGGGCCAUCCAGAGUGCCUUCGAGAGGUGAAGCUAAUUAUAUGCUAACUUUUAUUGAUAAUUUUUCCAAAAAAAUUGAGCGUUCUUCUUGAAGCAGAAAAGCGAUGUAUUUUUCGCAUUUAAGUCUUGGAAAAUUAUGAUUGAAAAACAGACGGGAAAACAAAUAAAAUACUUCUGUAUUGACAAUGGCUUAGAGUUCUGUUCUGAUGAGUUUAAUAAACUGUGCAAGUCAGAAGGGAUUGUAAGACAUUUGACAGUUUGUUAUACUCCACAGCAAAAUAGCGUUACAGAACGAAUGAACAGAACGAUCAUGAAGAAGGUUCGAUGUAUGUUGUCAAAUGCCAACUUACCAAAGUCAUUUUGGACCGAAACAACCUUUACUGCAUGUUUUUUGAUUAACCAAUUUUCAUCCAUUGCCAUUGAGAAAAAGACUCCACAAGAGGUAUGGUAUGGUAAUUCUGUUGACUAUUCUGAUUUAAAGAUCUUUAGGUGUCCUGCGUAUACUUAUGUUGAUAAUGGAAAAUUGGAAACGAGAUCCAUUAAAUGUGUUUUUCUUUGUUAUAAAGCUGGUGUAAAAGGGUAUAAGUUAUGGUGUCCUGAAAAUAGAAAAGGUGUGAUUAUCAGAGAUGUUUUUGAUGAAACUGCUAUGCUACCUAACUUAUCUCUUAAAGACUCUUCUAAUAAAGAAAAUCAAAAGCAGGUAGAGCAUCAGAUUAAUCCAAAAUCUACAAUAGAGUCCACUCCUCAAGCCAGUACAAAAAUUUAAAAUAGAGUUGAUGCUUCACCACAAUACUCUAUCACCAAAAAUAGAACUAGAAGAGAAAUUAAACCUCCAAAGAAGUAUAUUGAGGUUGAUCUAGUUGCUUAUGCUUUAAAUGUGGCUGAAGAUAUAGAUGGAAACCAAGAGCCAUCUAAUUAUUCUGAUGCGGUUAGUUGUGAAGACUCAGAAAAAUAGAUGUUUGCUAUGUAAGAGGAAAUUGAAUCACUCCACAAAAAUAAAACAUGAGAUCUUGUGAAACUUCCUAAAGGUAAAAAGGUUGUUCGUUGUAAAUGAGUGUUUAAAAAGAAAGAAGAGACUCUAGGAGUUGAAGAACCCAGAUAUAAAGCAAGGCUUGUUGCAAAGGGUUAUAGUCAAAUUCCAGGAGUGGAUUUCACAGAUGUGUUCUCCUCAGUUGUGAAGCAUAGUUCGAUUCGAGCUUUGCUUGGAAUUGUGGACAUGCAUGAUUUGGAGCUUGAGCAGUUAGAUGUAAAAACUGCAUUUUUGCAUGGAGAACUUGAGGAUGAUAUUUACAUGCAACAACCAAAUGGUUUUACAGUCUCAGAAAAAGAAGACUAUGUUUGCUUGUUGAAGAAGUCCCUUUACGGUUUGAAAUAGUAACCAAGACAGUGGUACAAGAGGUUUGAAUCCUUUAUAACUUCUCAUGAUUUCAAAAGAAGUAGCUUUGAUAGUUGUGUUUACUUUAAGAAAAACAGUAAUGGUUCUUUUGUGUAUCUACUCCUUUAUGUUGAUGAUAUGUUGAUAGCAGCGAAAGAUAAAGAAGAGAUAAGAAAGGUCAAAGCCCAACUAAGUGAAGAAUUUGAGAUGAAAGAUUUAGGACCAGCAAAGAAGAUACUUGGUAUGGAGAUUCUCAGAGAUAGAAAAAUAAGUAAAUUGUACCUAAGUCAGAAUGGGUACAUUGAGAAAGUUCUUUGCAGAUUCGAUAUGCAGAAUACUAAGCCUGUUAGUACUCCUUUAGCAGCCCAUUUCAGACUUUCAUUGGCUUUGUCUCCAUAAUCAGAUAAUGAGAUUGAGUACAUGUCACAUGUUCCAUACUCUAGUGCAGUGGGAUCUCUCAUGUAUGCUAUGGUUUGUUCACGUCCAGAUUUAUCAUAUGCAGUCAGUACAGUUAGCAGAUACAUGGCAAAUUCCGGUAAAGAACAUUGGAAAACAGUUCAGUGGAUUUUAAGAUACUUACGAGGUACUACUGAUGUUUGCUUACAAUUUGGAAGAACUAAAGAUAGAGUCAUUGGGUAUGUUGAUAUUGAUUUUGCUAAAAACCUUGACAGAAGAAGAUUUCUCACAGGUUAUGUCUUUACAAUAGGAGGUUGUACAAUCAGUUGGAAAGCUACUUUGCAAACUACAGUUGCUUUGUCUACCACUGAAGUUGAGUACAUGGCGAUUACUGAGGCUUGUAAAAAAGUCAUUUGGUUGAAGGGACUCUUUAGUGAACUCAAUGAAGACCUUCAAAUUAGUACAGUAUUUUGUGACAGUCAGAGUGUUAUCUUCCUUACAAAAGAUCAAUUGUUUUAUAAGAGAACAAAACACGUUGAUGUUCGGUAUCAUUUUGUUCGUGAUAUUAUUGCCCGUGGUGAUAUUGUUGUGAGCAAAAUUAGUACUCAUAAAAAUCUUGUAGAUAUGAUGACUAAGUCACUUCCUAUAACCAAGUUUGAGCAUUGCUUAGACUUGGUUGGUGUUCAUUGUUGAAAUUAAACCCUUAAGAAGGGGUUUUAUGGAAGAGGUGGAGAACUUGUUCGUUGAGAGUUCGCGAUGAAGAACUUGUUCAUUGAGAAUUCGUGUCAAGGUGGAGAUUGUUAGAAUUAAGUGACCCGAAUUCUUAUUUAAAUAAAAUACAUUGGUAAAAUAAAAUAAAAGUAAAAUCCAUAUAGAACUACACUUCUUUUAUUUUAUUUUAGAAUAAGGUUUUUUAAACAUUAUUAAGCUCCAUCUAUUUGAUAUUGAUUAGAAUAAGGUGUUUCAAUCUUACUACACUCCUAUUAGAAUAUGGUUUUAUGAGCCUAUAAAUAGGCAUAGUCUACUCUUCUUAUAAUCAUUCGAAUUCGACAUAGUGAAUUAUCUUCUCCUCUGCCCGUGAUGCAGUGUGUUUAGCUUACUUUUUAUUUCACGCUAUAGUAUCCUAAUUGAUUUCGAACAAAAAAAAUGCUAUUAGAAGUGAAGGAAGCAAGAAGUAUCCCUUCACACUGGGACCAUUAUGAGCUUUUUAUGCACUUCGGGGACGACCAAAUGAGCCAAAUUCUAGCCAACCAUUUAUAGUGAAUAACAGGAAAAACCAAAACAAAAGGGGACCAUUCUGAAAAUCAAUUGAAAGCCAAUUACUUCAAACACUAAUUUUGAAUUUCUAACAUUCACUCAUUUCCUUGUUUUCAUCAACCCGUAAAAUGAAGCAGCAAGUAGUUUUUGUCUUAGGCCUGCAAACUCUGAAUUGGAUAAUACAAUAAUAAUAAUAAAAUACAAGUUUUAAAAUUAAAUAUUUGCACACACGAUCACAAUUUAUUUCCCUUCAUAACCCCAAUUUUUGCAUGGCCCUCUUAUAGCAUAUACAUAUAGCUAUUAUGGUACAAAGGGGGGCAUAUACAUCAAAGUAUAUAUGACAUGAAACAUAUUGGUAUAUCAAAUAUUCUGGACAGUUCUGUUGGAUAUGGAAUAAUGGGAACUCUUGAUAGUACUUCAUAUACCUGCCAUGCAUUCCGGUGGGGUGACCGGGUACCGAGACUUGUCGGUGCAGUAAUCGUAGAUCAUGUGGUUCAUCCGAACCCAUCUGUAUCUCCUAGCUUCCAUGGCAUUAAGAGCUUGAUAAGCAGUACCUUCCCACCAGUUCCUAGGGUUACUAGCACAAUUUGCUGGCCCUGGAACUGGACACCCUUCAAUGUCAAAAUCCUUGUAAUAAGCCAAAAAUGGUGCUUUGCUCCAAUCAAUUUUCUCAAGUCCUCCCCUUGUUGCCCAAUCAUCAGCUUCCCAUAGUGUUGAAUAUACCCCCAUAGGUUGAAAUUUUGGGUAUGGGAUGUUUUUUGCUUCAUUGUUCUUGUAUACUCUUAUUGGCACUUCAUCUACAUAAAACCUGUUAAGAAAAAGCACCCAAAUGGUCAAAUUUUAAUGUCAUAUAUGCUUAUUAAUGUCACAUUUAUAGUUAGAUACUGGACUUACACAAUAUGAUGAUGGUUCCACAUAAUUGCGUAUGUAUGGAAAUCAGCAGCUGGAUCAAACCAGAGGUUAACCCUUUGUUCUCUAUCACCUUUACCAUGAGCAUAUAUGUUGGUUUGGACCGUGUAUGGUUGCCCGGUUCGGUUUCCCAAGAACUCGAAAUCUAGCUCGUCUCUUACGGUGUCCGUAUCAGAAUUCAUCUGCAAUACCAGAUUACAAUGAAAAACAGAUUAAAGGUUAAAGGUUAUGUCGGUAGGUAGCUUUACGUACGUAAAAGGCGGUGACGGUUCCGGCCGAGUCACCGGGGAUAAGCUUGAUCUUCAUGCUGACACGUCCAAACAAAUACCGUCUUUUGGAAGCAAAUCCACAGCCUAUAAAACAAAAUGAAUUAACAACACAUUAUCGAAGGGUUAACACAUUUAAUCAUUGAUUAUUAUUUUUAAAAAGUUAAACCUGAAUUUUGGUCUAGAAUAAGUUGAAUGGCCCUCCCCCCAUCGAUUUGCUUGAUAUGGGAAUCGGACCAAGUGAUUCUAAAAUCUUCGAGGAAAGUGGCGGGUCGUCCCGAAACCGAGAUCGAACAUGCAAGGAAACAAGAGAAGAUGAAAAGAAAAGCACUGCUUAGAGUUGCCAUUGUCAUCAAUGUUUUGAACUUAGAAGAUUAAAUUGUGGUGAAUAUGUGUAUAUGUGUAUGUAUAUAUAUAUAUAUAGGUGGGAGAGAUUAAGGUUGAUGUAGACCGCUGCAUUGAAAUAGAAAGUGCCAUUCUUAAGUUUAGCUUUCGAUACAGCUAAUGGCAAGCCGUCUUUAGGCCCUACAUACCCCCCAACUGUGCUCUAAUUUUGCCCUUUGGGAACCUAAUCUUAAUGCUUCCACUUCAUAACUUUCUCUUUGUUUUUGUUUUCAUUCUCCAACCUAACAAGAAAAAGGGAUCACAGAUAUUGAAAUUUUACAAUUGAAUUGAUCGUAUAUACAUUGUUUGUCAUGUUCCGUCAUCACAUGAAAAUUUGAUUAAUUUUAUAUAUGGGUGGAUAAUUUUCUAUCUCAUGAAAUUGAUAUGGUAUGAAGGUGGUGUAGAAAAGGAUUGAAGACCAAUGAGGUGUGCCUAAAAAUUUGGGUCAAAUAGGGUUUGGACUUAAGUUCACAAAGGCAGUCUCAUUCAAUAUUGCUUAUCUAAUAUAUCUGUGAACAGCCUAGAUUGAUAUUGAACGGCCGGUUGGCCGGAUCCACCGAGUUACAUGCCCCACCAUUAAGUUUUUUGGGGUCUAAUUGGUCAAAUUCCAUAGGCCUGGAAACCAAUCAGUAUAUCAAUUUAGAUAAAAGGGUUAGAUCGAUUUUAGAGCGAAGCACUUAAAACUAAAUUUAAACCGUAAACCGGUUGAACUGUUUUUUAAUGUUUUUAGUCCAAAUUAAUGGUCCAAAUCGAAAAAAAAAUCUCAACUGGCAAAAUCCAAAUACGUAAAUAUAUCAACCCAACCCACCCGAAUACUUAAAAAAAUUAUUAUUAUUAAGAAAAAAAAAGAGAGGAGAAAAACCAAUAUAAAUCGAAGUGUCAUUAUUGUUAUUUAUUUGUGUUUAUACAAUUUUGUUUUUAAUUUUGUCAAAUUUUUACUUAUUUUCCAAAUUUUCUUUAAUUUUGGACCAAUCGAACUAAAAUUUGGUGAUCUGAUUAGUUCGAUCACCAAUCCAAUUCCGAAAACAUUGGGGGUAGGGGUUGCCUUAUUUUCAUAUUGAUAUAGUAGACAUCGAUAAAAAUAAGAAAAAUAAGAACACAUGAAUUUCUUCAAUAAGUGACGGGAUUCGGGUCACACAAUCUCUAACACAUAUUAACAUGGCUAGCUCUCCUAGAAAAACUUUUAAAUGUUAAUCGAAAACUUUCCCAACUCGAAUAAAAAAAUCUUAAAUCCAAAAUGACUCAAAUCCUAAUUAUUACCUAAACUUAAUUCAAAAAUUCACUAACAAACCCGAAUAACUUCAUCUUACAAAUAAUCCAAACCCAAAUUAAUAUCAAACCUAAAACCACUCAAAAGUCAUGUUGAAAAUUGGAUCAAAUUCCAUUCCCAUCUUUUUCUACCACUUGACAAUUGUUGUGACAAGGAAUAAUUUCAAACAAAAGUAUUAUCCUAUUUUACAUCAAUUGAAGUUAAAACACAGAUAGUGAAAGACUGAGAUAUCUGAAAAUUAUACGACAGAAAGGGAUCAUUUCUUUCACCAGUUGCAUAACUGACGUACAAAGAUCCUCGGGAUUAAAGUUCAACCAAUGUUGGCUGCCAAACCUCAAUUAUUUUAAAACUUUGACCUCAAAGUCAAUAUAAAAAAAUAAUUCUAAAAAUAUGUAGUCCUUAAAUGAUUAAAUAUGCAAAUUUCCUUGUCCAAAUAAAAUUUUUAAUUUCUCCUCACAAAUUAUGAUUAAUUUAUAAUAAAAAAUAAAAAUUGUGGAUCAUGAUUUCCUCUCUCAACUAUAUAUCUCCAGGAUCCAAAUUUGAGUUCUUUUCAUAAGAGCGAAUACGGUUUACCACUGCACUCAACAUUUUUAAAAAAGAAUUAUGUAUAGGAGGAGGCAAAUUCUCUUAUAUCCUGUAUGUUAGUAUUGAGUUGCGGAUUUGCUGUGUUUCGAGUUGCAACUAAUGAUAUAAUUGAAAUUGAAAAAGAAAAGGGUUAAAAUAUGUCAUAGGUUCCUGUGCUUUUUAAUUUUAGGAAUUUAGUUUCUCUGCUUUCUAGAUUUCAAAAUUCAAGUCAAAUUAUUAAUUAUGUUAAUUUUUUGGGGUUGAAUUUGUUGGUGUGACAUUUUGAAAUUAGAAAAAAAAACCUUACUUGGUAGUAAUGUAACUAAAAUAAUGACGUUGUAAUGAACCUGAAUUUAACAAAAUAAUCUUAAUAGUGCUAACAAUUGGACCUAAUUUUUUACAUCUAAAAAGUAGGGGGAUUAAAUUCCAAAUUUCUGAAGAGUUUAGAGACUUAUAAUAUAUUUUAUCCAAAAAUUAGUUGUAGAGUUCAAAACCCCUUCCUACAUCUAUAUGGUCUUACUCGAAGAGUGAUUCAAAAUAAUUCAACAAUACAAGAGAUGAUUUAAGCUCAACUUACUCAACUUGUUGUUGCCUACAUGCAUAUAUAUAUAUAUAUAUAUAUAUAUAUAUAUAUUUGGGGUUAAAUCACUUUUUAGGAUCAAAACAUGGUAACAUUUUUUAUAUUGGGGUUUGAAUUUUUUUUCAAGUUAGGUCAUGAACUUAGCAAUUAUUCUUCCAUUGGGAACUAAACUUUUUUUUAUUCAAGAUAGAUCCUGAAUUAACAAUUUUUCCAAUAUUAGGGUUGAAUUUUUUUUUCCAAAUUAGUCUUUAAAAACCCUAAAAGUUCAGGUCAAGCCUCGAUGUGAGAAUAAUUGUCAAGUUCUUGGACUAACUUGAAAAAAAAUUCAAGCCCCAAUUUGAGAACAAUUGCCUAGUCUAGACCCCAAUGUGAGAACAGUUGUCAAGUUCAAAGUCUAACUUGAACCAAAAAAAAAAAUUUAUACUCCAGUGUAGAAAAAGUUACCAAGUUCAAAUCCCAAAUAAUAAUUUAACACUAUAUUUUAUAUUGAUAAAACAUAAAAAAAUAUCUUAAUUAAAUUAUAAAUAAAAUUAAUCAUAUAAUUAACUCUCAACAUUUAAUAUUAAGAUCCGUAAUUAAUUAUUUUUCCCUAAUGAUGAGAAACUAAUUUAACUUUUAUAUUUGAACUAAUAUACCGAUUAAUUUAACUUUCAUUCAAUUUAACCGAUCGAUCCAGUCCUAUUAAAUAACAUCGGUGAAAAUGAUGGCAAAUAUUUUAUGGGGAUUGGGACAUGUGGAUGCAUGCAUGGUAUGGCAUAUAAGUGAUUGCUGGGAUAAGCUAAUAAAUGGGGUUUUUUACUAAAUUAUUAUAAAAAAAUAAAAAAAUAAACAAAAUAUUAUAACUUUUUUUUUAUUUACCAAAAUAUUAUAAAUUUUUUUAAUUUACCAAAAUAUACCAAAAAAAAACUUGCAAAAAAAAACCUGUGGCGGCACCAAUGGUGCCAAAGCACUAAAAUGUAUUUGCAGUUUCAAGGACCUGACAUGCAAAUUUACCAUUUUAAAAUUUGAAAGUGAAUUGCCGCUGUGCGUGUGGGGCGCACUAAAAUUGAAAUGUGGCUAAUUGCCUUCUAAGCCCUCCUUAUUUUAAUUAAGUAAUAAACUUUAAUUAGUUAAGUGAUAAUUAAGAUACUUAGAAUUCUAAUUAAGUAAUAACUCUAUUUUAAUUUAAUAAACUAUUCUCAUUUAAUAAACUCUAAUUUAAUAAACUCUAUUUUGGUAGUUUGAUGAGAAUAGUUUAUUAAAUUAAAAUAGAGUUAUUAAGUAAUUUGAUGAGAAUAAUUUAUUAAAUUAAAAUAGAGUUAUUUCUUAAUUAGAAUUCUAAGUAUCUUAAUUAUCACUUAACUAAUAUUAGAUUUAAUUAAAAAAUUAACAGAAAUACCAGGCAUGCCUUAUUGAAAAACCAGAAGUAAUAAUAAAACUGAUCACCCAUAAAUGUAACCCAAAUAGAAAAAAUAAAUUAUAAUUAUAAACUAUUCUCAUCAAAUUUAGUAAAUUUUUUAAAUAAACUAUUCUCAUCAAAUUACCAAAAUAAUACAUAAAAUGCGAAUUAGUUUAUACUUUUUUAAAUAGCUUUACUUUAGGUAAAAUAUAUUUACUUUAAUAAUAAAAUAAAGGGAUUUUAUGAGUAAAAGUCAUAGAUUAAGAGCUUAUUUAACUACAAAAAUAGGUUGAGGGCUUGUUUAUUAAAUAAAAAAGUGAGUUAAAGGGGAAUAAAAAGAAAAUAAUAAAUAAGGAGGACUUAGAAGGCAAUUAGCCACAUUUCAAUUUUAGUGCACCCCACACGCACAGUGCAGCAAUUCACUUUCAAAAUUGAAAAUGGUAAAUUUGCAUGUCAGGUCUUUAAAACUGCAAAUAGUUGCAUUUUAGUCCUUUAGCACCAUUGGUGCCACCAAUCUCUUUGGCACCUUUGGUGCCGCCACAGGUUUUCUUUUUGCAAGUUUUUUUUGGUAUAUUUUGGUUAAUAAAAAAAUUUAUAAUAUUUUGAUAAAUAAAAAAAAGUUAUAAUAUUUUGGUUAUUUUUUAUUUUUUUAUAAUAAUUUAGUAAAAAACCCUAAUAAAUGCGUUCUCCAUUGGCAUUGAAUUUUGCCACCAUAACAAUAUUUGAGGUAAAUUUCAAAAAUAGUUCCAUAUCUUUGUUUAAGUUUAAUUUUGGUCACCGAUGUUUCAAUUGUUACGUUUUGUAGUUCACUUUUAUAUUCGGACCAAUAUACUCUUUCCCGUCUUCCUUUUCUUUUCUUCUAACCAAACCCUAGUCGCUGCUCACCGCCAUCGAUGGUCCUCCGGCCGAUAGUGCCACCAUUACUCCUCUCCUCUCCGUUCACUGAUUCAGAUUUCUUCUAGAGCAAACAAAAGGACAAAAGCCCAAGUUGAAGCUUAAACCUUUUCCAACCGUCAGAUCGGCCUAAUCCCAGGAUAUGUGCCUCUCCUCCGUCCAAUGAGGCUUUUCACCAUUGGAUUUGCGAGCAAAUAACUAGAGCCCCGAGAAUUCAACAACCCGAAAUGGGUUUUCUCUUCCCCUUUUGAUUUCCAUUUGCUCUCUUUUUCUUGAUUUUUUAUUCUCUUUUUUUCAUUUCUAUGCCUUCUUCUUUUCCGUGACAUGGAAGCCAUGUUAGCAUUUAGUGGUACAAUUUGUGCAAUGUCAGAUUUUUAUUAACACUAUUAACGGCCAUUAACCGACCAGUAAUCAAAUUGUUAAUAAUUGAUAAAAUUUAUGAUCAAAUCAUAACAAUUGAAACAUCAAUGACCCAAAUGUAAACUUAAACAAAGAUAUGGGAUUAUUUUUGAAAUUUCUAUAACACUAUUAAUGCCCAUGGUGGUAAAGGGCAUAAUUUAUUAUUAUAUUAAUCAAAAUUAUGUAUAAUUAGCAGAAAACAUUAAUUUUUGUAAUUAAUUGUCUUUAAUUACUCAUUUUCAAAAUUGACGAAAUUUAAAUUAUUCUAUCUUUUUAAGAGAUUAAUCUGCUCGAUAUUAAAAUUGAAGGAGACUGAAGAAAUAUUUUUACCUAAAAUUUUUUAGUAUAAGCCUAGCACUUUCCUAGCCAAUCAAGUCCUUAUCAUAUGGUUUGAUUGUCAAACUCAAAAUUAAAGUCAGUCUUUAUUAAAUCAAAUAAUUGCAAAGUGUAUAGCUUUUGCCGGUUCUAUCUUAAUAAUGUAAUCCAUCUAAUAAUAUAUAUUUGUUAAUGGGUCGGGUCGGAUCAAGUUCGAGUUAGGUUUAAGUAUAAUGUCAACACAUUGUAUGUUUAUCCAAGUUCGUUUAGUCUGAAAUAUAAAUUUAAAAUUUUAUCUAAAUCUACCCAUAUUUAUAAAUAUCUGGUCUAAAUUCAUUUUAAACCCGCUCAUAUUAUCUUUAAUUUAUUAUUUAAUAAUUUAAUUUUUUAUUUAUAAAAAAAUUUAUAUAUAGACAUCUAAUAUUUUUAAUGUUUAUAUAAUAUAUAUUAAAAAUUAAAAAGGGUCUAGGCUAAGUCGGACUUCAAAUGUUCAAACUCAAAUUCGACUCAUAUUUUAAACGAGCCUAAUUUUUGUUUAGGCUCAAUUUUACGAGAGUUUAACCUUUUUAAAAAUCAGACAACAUUGGAGUUAAACGAAUAACCCGAUCUAUGAAUAGCUCUAGAUUAACCCAAGACUCAAUUAUUUGAAAAACAUAAAAAGGGCCUAGGUAGACAAAAAGGUUUAAUGUAUUUUGUUUUUUGCCGGUAAAUUGAGAAUGCUGGAAUUGACAAAGCAACAAUAAAUAAGAAGCAUCUUUAAUUAGAGGCUGGCAAGCCAAUGGCUCUUCAAUUCCUAUUUUUUCAUUAUCUUAUAUUAAUAAUUAAUUUGGAUUAUUUAUUUUAUUUUUCUUGAUAAUGAUUAAACAUAAAAGUUUUAGUGUCAUAAAUAGAAAUUGGAGUAAAUAUAGAGUUGUUCAUAAGACAGGUGGCCCAUUUAGCUCGCGUAGUAUGAUCCGAUUUGAAUUUAAAUUAAAUUCUUUUUAAAUUUUAUAUAAAUAUAAAUAUCAAAUAAUAUAUUUUAAUAUUUUACUAAUUUUUUAAAUGGUGAUAUGGAAAAUUUUUUAAAAAUUUGAUAAUUAUAUAUUUCUUUCACUACUAUUAUAUAUAUUUUUAUUAAAUUUUCAAAUAUAAAUAACUUACCUUUUUUAAAAUAUAUACAUUAUGAUAUAACAUAUUUAAUUUUCAUAUGAUAUAAGUACAUAAUGCAUAAAUAAAAGGAAAAGUUACAUAUCAUAAGCUUGAAAACAUACUAGAGUUGAUAUUUGAAUACUGGAGUUCGAAUUAGACUUAUAUUUUAAAUGAACUUAAUUUUUUUACAUAAACUCACUCCUAGCAUGACGAUUGUUUUUUUUUUUUUUUCCGAAUCCUCCCAAUUAUUGAGAAGGAAUUUGAGUUAGGGUAGGUAUAUUGACCAUUGAACAAGUCCAAUCAUAGUUAAUAUUUUGAAAUUAUGAUUUAGAUUUUUAAUUGGUCGCUAAAUUUUAAAACUUUCUAACUGAACUAGCAUAAGUAUCGUAUCAAUCAAGUCUUUUCGAAAGUUUAGUCAUUAGCUUGAGGAUAAACGUUGGCUCAAACAUAACAUUGAGCCUAUUUUAAACAUAUGGAUCAAAUUAUAAUAUGUGUAUCGAAUUUGACGUGUUAAGAAAUGAAUCUCUUAAAUUUAAUUGACGAUGUUACUUGGGAUAAACAACACUCAAGAUUAAUAAAUUGAUAAAUUAAUGUUUUAAUCAUUUAACUUUAAAAAAUUACUAAAUAAUUACUGAACGGGCAAAAUACUAAAAAAAGUCCUAUUUUUUUAAAAUUUAUCGAAAUGGGCUCGGUAUUUUAUUAUUUACUGGAAUGGGCCAUUUUCCCCGAAAUCGCGUCCACGUCAGCGCGAUGUCAGGGGACGUGUCAGAACAUCGCGUCCACGUCAGCUCGCUUAGCUUAUGUGGACAGAAAUCGCGCCUACGAGGACGCGAUUUGCUGACGUGGAUGAACAGUUUAUGUUUUUUAGCUUGGAAAACUUUGAAAGGCCAUAACUUUUGGCUCGGUUGUCCGAUUGAGACGAUUUUUUUAUUUCGAAUAACUUUUCGAGAUCUACGCGCUGAAUUUCGAUUUGCCGCAGUUUUCGUCAAAAAAGAUCCUUUUUUGCCCCUGAAUUUCGAUUUUUUCAGUUUAAAAUUGAAUUUUGAAACAUUCAAAUCAUUAUUUUCCUUAUUUAUUUGAAGUAAACACCGGAUUUUUUUUACAGAAUUGUUGUAUUAUUUUUUCUGAUUUGACACGUGUAUGGAAUAGGUCCGAUAAAUCGUUAGAACGUAAGUAAUAUAAUUAAGAUUAUAACAGUAUUUCUAUAAUAUGUUAAUUAAUUAGUUUGGCUUAGUUGGUUAAGAUGCUUGCUCUUUUCCCUUAGUACCUUGGUUCAAAUCUUGUUGGUAACAAUUUUGAAUCUUUUUUGUACUUGUUGCUAUUGAUGUAAUAUUGAAGAGUUAAUUGAUUAAAAAAAUAAAUACAAGUACAAAAAGAUUCAAAAUUUAUUUUUUCAAAAUACCAAAAAAGCCCUAUAUUUUUAAAAUUUAUCAAAAUGGGCCCGGUAUUUUAUUUUUUUGACCGUUGGGUACUGUUCACGCGCGGGCCGAAAUCGCAUCCACGUCAGCAUCUCGCGCUGACGUGGACGCGAUUUCCUGACGCGUACCCUGACAUCGCGCUGACGUGGACGUGAUUUUCCGAAAAAAGAACCAUUCCGAUAAAUAAUUAAAAAAUAGGCCCAUUGCGGUAAUUUAAAAAAAAAAGCUUUUAUUAGUAAAUUGCCCAUUACUGAACUGCUUAAAAAUUUUCAUUUAAAUUACUGGAAAGGUUUUAAAUAUAUAAUUUUACAAUUUUUUUUUGUUUUAUUAAAUAAAUGACCGACAAUACUAUAAACCUUUUAGUUUCCACUUUCUAUCUUGUCUAUCAAUUCAUGGCAAUGUUAAUCAAUUAUGGUUAGUUAUGAAUUAUAAUAAGAAAUUAAUGAUAUUUAUUGAGACUAGUUCUAUGCACAUCCCCCGAGGGGGGCAAUAAAACAAUAAAGAAAAUUUUGGGUGAAAAUUCAAAAUAAUGAAAAAUUAAAAUUACUUAACUAAUAAUUUUUACUAUUUACCCUUAUCGAUUUAUUUAUUGCCAUGUACUCUAAUUUAUAUGAUUUUUGGUUCUUGUCUUUUUUAUGUUUUGGAAUUUUAGUGAAUACUUAAAUUAAUUAAGUUAAAUUUGUUAUUUCUAAAAUUUUACAUGGCAAACAUGUUUUUUUCCACAUAAUCCUUGCAAAAAAAAAGUCAAUCACUUUAGUUAAUUGAUAAAAUAGUUACGGUUUGAAUCGUGACUAAAAUAUCAAAAUUUAAAAGUUAAGUAUUAAAAAUAAUGAAAUUGGAGAACAUGGUCUAAAUCCAUAAUUUAGGCAUAGUACAAGAUUAAUAGCAUAAUUUGAUUUAACAUAUUUAACUGUCGUUUGGGUUGAGAUUAAAAUUUCAAAAUUCAAAAAGUACAAAGAUUAAAAUUGACCAAAUUAGAGUAUAAGAACAAAAAUUAAUAAAUUAUACAUGAUAUAGGGAGUAGGGACCAAUAAUAAAAUUUGACCUUAUAAAUGAAUAAAAAGUGCUAAUGGUUUUAAAAACUUACUGUGAUAAAAAAAAUGCAUGAGAGAGAAGUUAAAAUUAGGAAAGUUUUCUAGUCUCAUCAUUAGCUAUUGCUAUGUGUUGGUUUUUUCUGUUGAGUUUAAGACUUAUGAAGAUAAAUAUUAAUUACAAAUAAGAUUCCGCUAAAAUAAUCUCAUAAAAAGACUUUACAAAUAUAAUCGUAAAGUUCAAAAUAAAACAAAAAUUUACAAGAUAUAUCUUCAAGUCAAUCUUCAUAAAUCAAGGGAUCCAAUUUAUUUGACCUAGAUCAGUCCAAACUUCAAGGAUUUGUAGCUUCACAAAAUAGAUCUUCAAAUAUGGGUCAACACAUGUUCAUAAUAUUCACUAAGUCAUGACCCAACUGUUUUGGUUUAAAGAUCCGUCGACAUUAAUAAGCCAAGUUAUGUAACUUGUGGGCACUACAUGAGACAUUGCUCACAUAUUGCCUCAACAAUCUCUUCCAACAAGAAUUCUAUAUUUAGAAUAUGAAUCCAUCUUUAUAAAGUACCAUUUAAUCCAUCUUAAUCUGUCUAAAUUUUAUCAAAUCAAUUACCCUUAAUAUAAGAUUACAAAUGAUUGUGGUAAAUCUUCAUAAAAUCAACUCGCGUCUUCUUGGAUUUACAUAUCCAAAUAUAUAAGAUAACUUAAUUUGGACACGAGCAAUAUUACUACUUUAAAAACUUACCUAGACCCAAACACUUGUAUAAACUUAUUUUGUAUGAGAAAUUAUAGAGAAGAUUAAUUAAAUUUUAAUCUAAUUGCUGCAAAAUUUUCAAUUAUUUCAAUGGGAUAAUGCUAAGAAUAUUAUAUGAGAUUUGAGACCCUACAUUAUUGUGAAAUAUCAAAUCAGACCUACAUGACAUUUUUUUUCUUCAUAUAAAUCAAAUUUAAUGUAUAGAAAGUUCUAUUUUGUAUAUUUUAGCUGGAUCACACAUAAAAAAGUACUUUUAAUUCAUUGAAUUUUUUGAAGGGAAAAUCAAAUCAGGUAUAAUUUAAUAUUUCAACAAGCACAAAUAAUUGAUCUUUUGUGUGGUUUUAGAUAAAAGAAAUAAAUUUUAAAUAAAUCGCUUAGAACCAAUUGAAUAGGAUAAAAAAAUUGAUUAAAUUAAUGAUUGAAUUGAAUUUAUACUUUUAUAAUUAUUUUUUAAAAUUUAAAAUUAUUAGUAAUUUAUUUAAUUAAAAUUGAAGUGGUAAUCAAUUUGAUCAAACCGAAAAUCGAUUAUCUGAUGAAUUUAAUCACCAAUCCAAUUCUUAAUGCAUGUUUUUGACUUGGACAGGAAUUUUUCUUUUUAAAUUUAAUAUUGGAAAAUGAUUUUUCUAUGUAUAAUGUUUUUGGCUUAAAUACUCAUUUAGCUUUGGAAUUUAUCAUUUUCUCCCAAUUUGGUAUUUAUGGUAUUUUUGUUCCAAUAUUAAAUAUCAAAACCUUUGAUGGAAUGAAAAUCGAGAUACCAACUUGAAACAGAAAACCAUAAAUACCAACUUAAGAGAAUAUGAUAAAUUCGAGGGUUAAAUGAAUAUUUAAACCAACAUUCACUGAUUCAAGUAUAAACAACUACCCUAUCACAAAUUCAUAGAUUUCAUCCUUCGUUAUAAAACAAAGUUGCUGUGAUAAUUUUAUUUUCAAAAUGAAAUAUAAAAUAAUUAUUAAAUAAACUAAUUAAAAAUAUCAGAAAAUAACAAUUUCCUUUCGGUACUUUCACAGUAUCACUAUAAAUAUACUCGUAUAUAUAUAAAAAAAACUAAUAAUUUUCUUUUAAUUAACCAUAUGAAAUCAAUAAUUAAUUAUUACAUUUUUAGAAAUAAUAAUUUAAUUAAAAUUGACACAUAUAUAUAUAUAUUUAAAACUCAUAUCAAUAAAUUAAAGCUUCUAAGAAAAAAAAAUGAAUGUUAUUAAAAUAAUUAUGAAAAUCUAAUUAAAAAGCUAGCUGCCUCAAAGCUCAUUAAAUGCAUGCAAGGCAAUUGCAGGGUCAGGUAUGCACACGCCCUGAAAAAGAUUGCUCAAACAGUUUCUUACAUGCAGAGACUUUUUUGCCUAAAAUUAUACCCUCAAUCAUUUAACAUCACAGAGACUUUUUUGGCUAAAUUUAUACCCUCAAUCAUUUAACAUCUCCUUUUCUUAUCUGCUAAAUUCGAUUUAGUAAAAAUAAUUAAAAAAUUUGAAUGACAAAAAUAUGAACUUUUAAAACCUAAAUGAUUAUUGGGAAAAAAAUAAUUAACAGAGAAAUUUAUAUUUUAAUAUAAUGAUAAAAUUGUACUUUAAUUCCUCUAGUAAUUCAUAAUUCAUAUCUAACUUUCUUUAAAAUAAUUUUCUAACUUCGUCCAUGCUUCAGCGUAUACAGGGGCAGAAUCACCUUUAAUCCUUUUAUAAUUUUAAAUAAUUUAAAUUAGCAUAUGUAAAAUUACACUUUGCCUCUCAAGAAUGAGAACAAAAUUAGUAUAUAAACUAUUAAGAUGAUGAAAUUUUACUUUUACUAUUAUAAAAAUAUACAAUUUUAUUCCGACCCCUCAAUUUCUCUGGAUUUUGAUUGAUUUCCACUAGUUGCCACUAAAUUGUACUAAUGUAGAGUUGAAUUUUAUUCCAAAAAAGCUACUAAUGGUAUCAAUUCAAUACAAUAUAUAUAUAUAUAUAUAUAUAUAUAUAUAUAUAUAUAUAUAUAAAGUUCAAUGAUUUCGAUAUACCGUUUGCACAAUCAACACGUUUGGUCUAAAUAAUUAUGAAAAACUUGUAAACUCAUCAUUGAAUACAAGUAUCAUUAACAUUAAAAUAUUUAUCUAUUUCUAUUAUUAAAAACUGACAUGAUUAAUAAUAAAAUAACAAAAUAGUUACAAGUGACACACCACGUGUACCUCACUCUAAUGUACAUUAACCAGUUUUUAACAAUAGAAAUGGAUACAAAUUUUAACCGAAGGACUAGUCUGCUGUUUGAUUUAAUGCAUAAAGACUAACUUACCCAAUUUUAAUAGAAGGGACAAAAUAAAAUUUGACUCUCAGUACAAACAAGACUCCUGUUACUUUUACCUAUUGAGAAACAAUGGAAUUGAAAAAGAAAGUUGGAAGUUCAAAUUCAAUGGGAUAGAAACCUUGAAAGGACAGUGGAUAGUUCUCUUUGAUCUAUAUAACAAGUGAUAUAACAAAAACAGUAAUUUAAUUUGAUUAUUAUAAAACCCUGGAAAGAAUCUUACAGUACAAUAAAUAGUUGUUCAAGAAUAUCAACUUGCAAUUCUACUGAGUUGAGUAACUAGCUCCUUAUCUGUAGAGUUUUUCAAAUGUUCGACGAUUUCGUCGACAUACGGAGCUUCUAAGUGAAUCCUUCUUCUAAGCAUUAACCUAGCAAGCUUCACAGCUUCAACUGAAUGGCUUUGCCGACACAAGCCAACCAAAAGAAUAGAAUAGAUGUCAGUGUCGAUGGAUGAAAUGUAUUGAAUCCGCUCGAUUUCAUUGUAUAAGCAAAAACCAUCUAGCACUCGUCCCUCAUGACAGAUCUCCCUAAUCAUGGUACUACAAGCAAUGCCACUAGGUUUAGCCCCACUUACUAACAUUUUCCUAAAGAGCUUCUCUACCUCAUUGAGUCUAUUAAUCCUAAUCAAAGCCAAUACAAGAGAACUGUAGCAAUCACUAUUGGAAACACCACGUCCGGCAACUCUAUCGAUCAACUUAUAUGCUUCUUCGACAUGUCCCUCGGUGCAAAGACCCGUGAUCAAAGUAAUAACAGUUAUACGGUUAGGAACACACUGGCAAGCUUCCAUUCUAUCCAAAAUCCUCAAUGCCUCUAUUGUUUGACCCUUCUCACAAAAGCUUUUAAUCACAGAUGUAUAUGUGAUUACAUUUGGACUACAAUUCCCACCUGCUUUCUCCAUCUCCCCUAAUAAUUCCAAUGCCUUUUCCGUACUCCUGUACUUACAAAUACCCUCGAGAAGCACGGAAUAAGUCACAGCAUUUGGAGAAAACCCUUGCCCCUUCAUAGCCUGAAACAACUCACAAGCCUCCUCCAAUCUACCAGCAUUACAGAACCCCUUGAUCAUUGCAAAAUAAGUCAUCAUAUCGGGAUAAAGAUCAAUCAAGCCAAUCUCUUUCAUCAAUUUAUGAGCCAUAUCCAUAUCCCCUUUCUCACAAAGCAGCCUGAUAACCACAUUAUAAGCAGUAGUAUCCGGACGUAAAUUAAAUUCAGGCAUUUUCCUCAAUAGCAACAAAGCUUCAUCGGCAAUGUUAGCUUCUUUACACAAAUUCAAAACAACCUUAAACAUUUUAAGGUUAACUGAACACUUUUCCAUCCUGUAAGCUUUGAUAACAUCCAAAACAAGAAAUGGGUUUUGCUUAAUUUUCAAAAAUCCAGCAGCUUUGUUGUACAUAUAAGAACUAUACCUACAAUUUGAUUGAAGACCUGCCCAUAUGAAAAACCUUAAACCUAUUUGAGAUAGAGAUAUAUCAAAAGAACAUCUUUUUAACACCUCACAAACACAGUUUGGGUCCAAUUUGGCAUUGACUAAAGCUAAGGUUUUCUCUAUAUUGCUUUGGUUUUUCUCUAAAAGAGUGAAAAAUUUGUCGGCAGAGGAGACCGAUCUGAAUUGAAGAUUGAAAAUUUUGCUUUGUUUAGUGUGAAUUGAAAGUGAAAUCAAUCUAGAGAGAGAAGCAAUUGGCAUUGCUUUGUGGGGGAAUUUAGUGUCUUUGCAAGAGUUGAGGUUGAACAAAACAAUGAGGUAAAAUCUUACGAGAUUGUUUCCGAAUGAAGUUGGAUAAGUUUUGGCAAGAAUGAGGCCAGGUGUACCGAGUUGUUCGAAUGUGGCCCAGUACGGUGGCAUCAACUCAUAGCCAGGCAACCAUAACCUCAUAUAUGGCCCUGCAUUAUAACGAUAGAGCAUUAAGGUAACUCACAAUUAUGUAUGAUUUUCAUUUUAUUAAAAACAUAACAGUAUCAAGCAUAUAUCCGUGUUUGAUGUUCAAAUAUGAGUCCGGUGUGUAAAAGCGGAAACACGACAUUUCCUAAAAAUUAUUACCAUAUUAGCACAAGUCAGUGAUGGCUAAGCUUCUAUUACAUUGAAAGAUUGUUAAAUCGAAACCUGCAGUUUUAACACAUUAACUUCAUCAAAGUGGAAAAGCAAAACCGAAUUUUAUAAAAAUUAUAAUCGGAAACGAAAUUCACUUUGACGGAAACCGGAAUAACAACUGAGUUUAGUCGGUCGGUCCCGUCGGUUAAUCAUACCGAAAAAAUAUCAUGAAAAAAGCUGUUUUUUUUUUUAAUUUACACAAACCAUAAUGAAAGUAAAUUUGUAGUAAAUAAUUGAAUUUCCCAUAAUUGAUCGCAACAAAAAACUCAAUUUACAACCAUAAUUAAUUGGAAAGCUAAUCGAAAGUCAUAAGCUACCUGUUUCAUUUGGCUACUACUUCAAAUGACUACCAUAGAAUUUCGAAAUGGGCCAAAACUAAUUUUAGGGUAAAAGAAAAGUAGGCGAUGAGCAAGACGACAAAGUUGAACAUCAAUAGAUUAAAUAGUUUUAAAAGAAAGAUUGAACAGCUAUAUACAGUAGAUUAAAUGUGGCAAAAGCCAAAAAUAACUUACAGUGGCCGGUGACGAGGCGUUUUCCGAUGAGCAAGGCGGCAACCGAGGUCCGAGAAAGGUUGAAGGCGAUGAGCUGUUACCCACCGGCGUUGGGUUUGCUGGUUCAGUUCAAGGCUGUUCACCAUAGAUUUAGGCUUUUAUUUUUAAUUCGUUUAAAAUUUUUUCUUUUUUAAAUGAAUUAAAAUUUGUAUUUGGGUUUUUUAGUUUUUAGAAUUUGUAUUGGGCUUUAAUUUUUAUAGCUUGGAUCUUGUGUAUAAUGAAUUUAUUUGGGGAUUGGAAAAUGAGUAUGAUAUUUAUAUUUUAAAAAUAUAUAAAAUUAAUAAGUUAUAUUAAUUCGAAUUAGAUUUUAAAAUCGAUUGACUUAAAAUAAUUGAAUUAGUCUCUCAAAUCGAUUUGAAAUUAAAAUUGAUUUAAUUGAAUUAAGUGAAUCAAAUUUAAUCGAUUAAUUCGAUUUUAACCAAGUUUUCAUCAUCUUUAAAUUAAGUGAAAGUAUAUAUGUAAAAAUGUAUACUAUAUUUCAAACACAUAAAAGAGUUGGUAUCACGAGUCAACUGGACGCUAACUUAAGUGAAAAUACCCUUACUUUACAAAGUAAAUUGUAUUAUUUUAAGGAUGUUUUUGUCUUUCUACAUCUUUUAUAUAGAAAAAUGUUUACAUAUAAUAAGACUUUAACUUGUGUAUUUAUAGUUUCAACAUUUAUACUUUACAAUUCAACCAAAGUCUCAUUUACUAUAUUAAUUAAUUAUAAAUAUAUUUAUUAUAUAAUAUUAUGUUUUUCGUCUACGUGGUUGUGUCAUAAUCUAGUAAUAAUAGUAAAUAAAGUUUAUGCAAUUUAGGUUAAGUGAGUCACAGUACACCCAUCUCUUUACGCGCAUUUCGUUUUUAUCCCAAAGCUUUAAACUCACCACGCAGUCCUAGUCGUUCGCCGCAAUGCUUCGCUUUUCUUCAGUGGUUUCUGGCAUUGAUUUUGGUUUCAAUAUGUUCCCCUUAAUCUCCUGUCUACUAUUCUAGGAUUAUAUCCCAACAUCAUUGGUUUUCUCUAAUCUAAACUCAAAGUUUUGGUUGGCGUGCUUUCGGUCUCCCUCGCACACUGUUAACCACAACUCAAAUCUUAUAGUAGUCACUUUGAGCUUUCCAAAUCUAGUUUGACUAAAUUUGGGUCAAUGAAGCAUUUCACCAACGCCAUUCACUGCUCGAUCUUCUCAUGAAGCCAACGACUUGUUCCUUCUGUUCUCAUGAAUUGUAGGUUUUAUGUUUUCCCUAAUUUUUAUUCCUUGUUGGAUUGCAUUGUGUCACGGGUCAAGACUUUAGCUCCGAUCAUGUGUGACUUUAGAUUCGACUAAGUCAGCCUUUAGUCCUCGCUUGGGAGAGAUUUUAGCACACUUAGGGAACUUAGAUAGAACAAGAGAAUGUGGGAGAAUGUGGAAGCAUUCUUAUUAACUCUCAAAGUUAGCUUGUACAAAUGAGGGAUGAGAGCCUCUCCUUAUAUAAGUAAGCCCCAUUCAAUCCAACGGUUACAAUUGAUUACAAUAAAUGGUCAAUAUCACAUUCUAGAACUUUCCCACUUAACUCCAUUAAAUUCUAUACAUGAACGGAUAGUUCUAGAGCUUCCAAAAAUAUUCUACAUGGUUCUAAAGUCUUUCGGGGCACUUCGGGAAUCUUGUGGCUCAAUAGUCUCGUGUUUGCUCGAUUUCGGGCUUGAUAAGGCCUUGCUCACUCACGAAUCAUGACACUUGGAUUAGUUGCCUUGCUUUGUCUCUAUUUUUUUUUCAAUUGCAAAAUAGGAAAUCAAGAAAACUACUAGGUUUGUGCUAGGGAAUUUGCUUCAAGGGUAGGCAUUUCAACCCUUAAGGUUCUUUUGGAAGGGUAAGGAUGAAGGUAAAAGUGGGCUAGACUGUGUUAACCAAAGGUUUCAAAGAAUUUGACAUUCAAGAUUGUUAUAUUGCUACCUCGGCUUGGGCAUGUGGUAACAUGAGAAGCGAUUGAGGAAACACACAUGGAUGGCCUUCCACCUUAUAUCGUCCAUAUGAUUUCUCAAUGACCAAUCACCUGCAUGCUUCGUACUACCCAGGGGAAAGAUCAUCUAUCCUUAACCACUCGAUUGGACCCUUCGUUAGGCCACCCGCUAUUAGCUAGUGCACUCUCCUCAAGAGGAGACCUUCGAGUGGUGUAAUUGGACAGGAGACCUCCUACCUAUAAAUACCACAAGAUACAACAUAAAAGGGAUCUUCUUCUUCCUUCUCAUAAACCCUAAAUAACAUACUAAGCCCUUAGCCUCCUCUUAUUCCCUCACUUUUCCAACUCUUCACUUGUUUAGAUUAACCAACCUCCUUCGCUCCACCACCUUCUCCACCAUAUUUCCUCAUUUGUUGAUAUAUUGUAUCAACAAAUAUAUUUAAAAUAAAUAAAAUAUAUAAAUAUAUGAAGUUUGUUAAGUUGAUUGGUUCAAUUAUGAAUAUUAAUAACCUUAAACUGACUAACUUAAUCAAAAGCAUGUGCCAACUAAUUUAAUAAAAUACACAAACCCAAUAUUGGUUUAACCGAAUGAACCAAUUAAAUCAAUAAUAUUCGAUUUUUGCUUACCCUAUGCAUCCAAAGAGAAAAGAAAAUUGAUUUUCAUCCAAUUUUUUUAUUCGCUCUGCCUACCAUGCGGUGAAGGUUGAGCUAUAGAAAGAAAAAAAAAAACCCAUGCCCUUUCCAAUUUCAAAAUCGAAAUUUUUUCAAUCAAAGUAUCAUAAAAGCUCAUGUAGUAAAGUUAAAUUGUGUUUUGUCCAUUUUACUUAAAAAUUAAAAAAUUAGUCUCUAUAUAUUAGGGCAAGGAACAAAUUGGUCCUUUUAGCUAAAAAGUUCAUCAAUUUUUAACAAUAGAAAUGGAUAAAAUUUUUAACAGUGGAUAAAAUUUUUAACAGAGGACUAAUUGACUCUUUAAUCUAAUAUAGAUUAAUUUGGUUCUACUACAGGGUCAUCCACGAUACAUUUACCAAAAAUUUUCUCAUAUCACAUAAGUUUCUUUUUGGUUUAUAUCACAAGUGUCCUUAUUCGAUAUGAGAUUAGUUUCGCUCGGGUUAAGAAUGGAUUCGAGUAAAGCCCUCUCAAUAAUGAGAAUUCUAAAAAUCGAACUUAACCUAAAUUACCGACGGAAAAAUCCACUCUUUCCAAGCACUUGUUAAUACGGUUUAACAAUAUAUUUAGACAAAAAUAAUAAUAAUUGAAAUAAUCUACAUUCUUCUUAUGAUACAUCAGUGAUUUCAUAUCCGUUUUGUAAGAACCGGUUGGCGUUUAUGGUGUUUGGUUGCUGUUUUUUGUUCCAUAGUUGUCUUCUUUCUUUGUAUAUGUACUGAAUUACGGCUUUUUCCUCUUCUCAAAUGCUCCUUUCAAUACUGUCAUCCCACCCUAUCUUUCAAAUUCUAUUGCCUUUCUUUCUCUAUCUUCUAUUAUAUAUAGUAACUUGUCUCUGUUUCCCAAAUCUUUGUUGGCCAUUGUAGCUUAAACAAAAGCUCAACACCCGAGGUUUUAAGAAAAAAGGUUUGUUUUCCUUUUCUGCCUUCUCUUUUUUCCUUUUUGUCAUUCGCUUCUGCAUUAACUUACUUGUCCUUCGAUCGUUACAUCAUUUCAACAGACUGCGAUAUAUCGCCCGCCCUUAUAAUAUUAUUACCACUCUCCUCUUCCGUUAUAAAAAGUAUCCAAAUUUUGCCAUCGUUUUCUUCAUCAAAAUGAGCCAUAGUUUCAUAUUUUCCCUUCUUUUUCUCUUGAUUUUAAGCUCAACCCAACUGAGAUACAAAGCUGAAGGUAACUUUUAAUCAUCUUUUUCAUUAGGCAAUUUUUUCUUGCUUGCUUACUUUUGUUUCUGCAGGUAGAUCAAUACCAAAAUCCGAUGAAGAAAAGGCGAGGUUAAGAGCACAGAUAGGAUCAAGGCCACCAAGGUGUGAGAGAAGGUGCAAUUCAUGCGACCAUUGUGAAGCCAUUCAAGUGCCUACCAAUCCUCAAAUCUCCCAUGUUGCUUAUGCAAGAGGUGAUGGAAGCUCUAACUACAAACCCAUGAGUUGGAAAUGCAAAUGUGGCAACUUCAUCUUCAACCCUUAGCUCAUAAAUACAUAUAUAUUUUAGGUUCUUAAAUACCCAUUUUUGAACCAUGUAAGUAUUUUUUUUUUUUUUUUGCUUGUGAGAACAUAUUAGAAUUCCGUUGUGAAAUUUCUUGAUUAUCUGAAUCUUUAAAAAGAAAAUGAAUCUAUAGUACUUGCUGUUGCUGUGGGGCGUGUAUUUGUACUGGUAUNNNNNNNNNNNNNNNNNNNNNNNNNNNNNNNNNNNNNNNNNNNNNNNNNNNNNNNNNNNNNNNNNNNNNNNNNNNNNNNNNNNNNNNNNNNNNNNNNNNNACGUACUAAGAUACGAUUUCUUGGGCAAAUCGUUAUGACGUUGGGAGGAAGGGGGGUCUAGAAAUUAGUGUAAAGUAUUUACUUAAAAAGUAGACAAUGAUUUUUGAGUUGGUAUAGUUUCACCAUACACGCCAUCGUGUCUGGUUUUGGUGUCAACUAUUGUCGAAAAAUGCGAUAGGAAUUGAAGUGAUCAGAGAGGGUAAAGGAAAAAGCUUAAACUGUUCUUUUAAUGGCAGAUUCCAGUUGUGUUUUCUUCUUAUUGUCUCUCUUCGUUGCUUACUUGGCGUGUAAGGAAUUACAUAGUAACGAUUCCGUUUUCCUUGAAAACUUACUUGAACAGUCAGCUCGCCUGGUUUCAUUAACAUGACAAAACAUACAUGGGUCUAAAACCAAAACAACUUUUAGGAUUUAAUCUAAUUGUCUGAAUUGAUUAUCAAGAUUGCUCCGUUGGCUUAUUUCAUUGUUUCAUAAUGAUUAAUUCGAUUUUUUAAGUAUUUAAAUUAGAUUAAGUGCAAUUUUCAGUAAAAUAAACCAAUCCAUUUAAUCAACUUUUCUAUUUUUUAAAUAUGUUUAUAAUAUAUAAUUUUUUUGGGUAAAUAAAGGUAGUGGACACUAUUAUAAAUAACAAUCCCUCUAAAUCAUAUUACGCAUAUAGACUCUAGAAAUGAAAAUAACGUUUCAUCUCUGAGUAAGGGUAUUAAUAGUCUUGUUGAUAUAACUUCUUUUUAUUUUGGUAAAUUAUAUAGUAAAGUCAGUUCUGUAGAAGAAAAAGUAAAUAACUUAGGUAAUAUAAAAGAUUUAGACUUAAACCAUGAGUCUAAAGAAAUAUUAACUAAUGUUAAUAAUAAAUUAGAUCAAGUUUUUAAUAAUAAUAAUAUAGAGUCCGAUGUAAAUUUAGGUCCUUUAUAUUAUGGUAAUGGUCAAGAUCAUAUUUUUGUUUUAUCUGAUGAAGAAAACACUUCAUCUGAUGAGUCGUCAUCUAUGUUAAAAAAUUAUAAAAAACAUAAAAAACGUAAAAAAGUUGAUAAACAAAAAGAAUAUGAUUUCCAAUCCUAUAAAACACUUAUAGAACAUUGGAAAGAAAAAUUUGCUACUACUAAUGAUCAACUUGAAAGAGUUGAAUAUUUAAAACUAAUAGAAGAACUUUAUGAAAAACAUAAAGAUCUUUUUAGUAUGUUUAAUUAUCAUUAUAUGUUAAAAUAUGAUGAUACAAGUAGUGGUUCGAGUAAUUCUGAAAACACAUAAUUAUUCAAAAAUCAAUCUGGUGAAGAAAAAACUUCAACAGAUCAGGAAAUAAAAAAUAGAAACUUAUCUGAUGAAGAAAAAACUUCAACAGACCAGGAUGAAGACAUAAAAGUCUCAACCUAUACUUCUGAUGAAGAAACCACUUCAUCUGAAGAAGAAAAUAUAGACAUUCCUGAACCCAUGGAUACUGAACCACCAGAUCCUCGUGGAAAAAGGAAGUUAGAAUCUGAUGGUCUAACAGAUGACUAUCUUAGAUUUUCUAACAAAGAUUAUGAAUUAGAUAAUGGAAAAUUUAGAAUCUUUGGUAACAAAUCCGAAGAUAUAGCUACUAAUGAUGUUAAACCUGAACAUUUAGGAGAAACAUCUAGUCAACCUGUUCAACAAAGAAUAGAUGACUUAAAUAAAAGAAAUGUUGCUCAAGGAGGAAUAUAUUUAGAUUUGACUAAUAUUUCUAUUCCAGACUAUGAAAAAACCAUAGAAAAUUGGGCACAGUCAAUGACGAUUGUUGUAAACAACAACACAUNNNNNNNNNNNNNNNNNNNNNNNNNNNNNNNNNNNNNNNNNNNNNNNNNNNNNNNNNNNNNNNNNNNNNNNNNNNNNNNNNNNNNNNNNNNNNNNNNNNNNNNNNNNNNNNNNNNNNNNNNNNNNNNNNNNNNNNNNNNNNNNNNNNNNNNNNNNNNNNNNNNNNNNNNNNNNNNNNNNNNNNNNNNNNNNNNNNAAAAAGAUCAAGAUAGUGUUGCUAGCUAUACUCUUU
This 41327-nucleotide long non-coding RNA is filed under the name Gossypium raimondii (Peruvian cotton). RNAcentral describes it as "long non-coding RNA (GRAI_LNC001788)". The stretch from base 32155 to 32302 matches the Rfam family "MIR7502 microRNA precursor family". The record is from RNAcentral. Lineage: Eukaryota; Viridiplantae; Streptophyta; Magnoliopsida; Malvales; Malvaceae.